AGGGACUUAGGUUAGCACUAGACCAAAGGCCUUCAAAGCCUUAAGGGAGGGUGAAAAUCCCUCAGCCCCUG
RNAcentral lists this transfer RNA (71 nucleotides) under Wuhanlinigobius polylepis. RNAcentral's name for it is "tRNA-Trp". It matches the Rfam family "tRNA". From Rfam's summary of the family: Transfer RNA (tRNA) molecules are approximately 80 nucleotides in length. Their secondary structure includes four short double-helical elements and three loops (D, anti-codon, and T loops). Further hydrogen bonds mediate the characteristic L-shaped molecular structure. tRNAs have two regions of fundamental functional importance: the anti-codon, which is responsible for specific mRNA codon recognition, and the 3' end, to which the tRNAs corresponding amino acid is attached (by aminoacyl-tRNA synthetases). tRNAs cope with the degeneracy of the genetic code in two manners: having more than one tRNA (with a specific anti-codon) for a particular amino acid; and 'wobble' base-pairing, i.e. permitting non-standard base-pairing at the 3rd anti-codon position. The record is from RNAcentral. Lineage: Eukaryota; Metazoa; Chordata; Actinopteri; Gobiiformes; Gobiidae.